RNAcentral lists this ribosomal RNA (253 nucleotides) under uncultured bacterium. RNAcentral's name for it is "partial 16S ribosomal RNA". It matches the Rfam family "Bacterial small subunit ribosomal RNA", at positions 524 to 776 of the family's 1533-position model. The record is from RNAcentral.
UACGGGGGGGACGAGCGUUGUUCGGAUUUACUGGGCGUAAAGGGCGCGUAGGCGGGCCUUCAAGUCGGAUGUGAAAUCUAACAGCUUAACUGUUAGCCUGCAUUCGAUACUGUUGGUCUUGAGUACAGUAGAGGAAAGCGGAAUUCCAGGUGUAGCGGUGAAAUGCGUAGAUAUCUGGAAGAACACCAGUAGCGAAGGCGGCUUUCUGGGCUGAUACUGACGCUAAAGCGCGAAGGCUUGGGUAGCAAACAGG